CAAUGGUGUAGAUUAAAAAUUACACCACUCCAGACCCUUUUGUUUUCCACAUAAUUAAUAUUGCCAAUAAUUAACAAGUUCCGGGUCGAAUCCGAUACCGAUACCAAUAGUAUAUUCACCUGUUAGCUAUUACCUUAUCUGUACGUUCCGCAUUUGACAGGCGCACCACCAAACGGUAUAUUUAGGAUUUUGCUAUAUACACGGGUCAUAAUCAAAGGGCUGACACUGCUAAAUUCUAUCAUUGUCAAAUUGUUCCCUAUUGUAGUUUUAUUCAGCAAUCAGCAAGACUUUCUAAGAUAACUAAUAUAGGACAAUGCUGUUGAUUCCGAUACCAAUAGUAUAUUCACCUGUUAGCUAUUACCUUAUCUGUACGUUCCGCAUUUGACAGGCGCACCACCAAACGGUGUAUUUAGGAUUUUGCUAUAUACACGGGUCAUAAUCAAAGGGCUGACACUACUAAAU
RNAcentral lists this long non-coding RNA (462 nucleotides) under Mytilus galloprovincialis (Mediterranean mussel). Lineage: Eukaryota; Metazoa; Mollusca; Bivalvia; Mytilida; Mytilidae. The record is from RNAcentral.